RNAcentral lists this ribosomal RNA (253 nucleotides) under uncultured bacterium. RNAcentral's name for it is "partial 16S ribosomal RNA". It matches the Rfam family "Bacterial small subunit ribosomal RNA", at positions 524 to 776 of the family's 1533-position model. The record is from RNAcentral.
UACGGGGGGGGCAAGCGUUGUUCGGAAUUACUGGGCGUAAAGGGCUCGUAGGUGGCCAACUAAGUCAGACGUGAAAUCCCUCGGCUUAACCGGGGAACUGCAUCUGAUACUGGAUGGCUUGAGUUUGGGAGAGGGAUGCGGAAUUCCAGGUGUAGCGGUGAAAUGCGCAGAUAUCAGGAGGAACACCGAUGGCGAAGGCAGGUCUCUGGGCAUUAACUGACGCUGAGGAGCGAAAGCCAGGGGAGCAAACGGG